This 254-nucleotide ribosomal RNA is filed under the name uncultured bacterium. RNAcentral describes it as "partial 16S ribosomal RNA". It matches the Rfam family "Bacterial small subunit ribosomal RNA", at positions 524 to 776 of the family's 1533-position model. The record is from RNAcentral.
UACGAAGGGGGCUAGCGUUGCUCGGAAUCACUGGGCGUAAAGGGUGCGUAGGCGGGUCUUUUAAGUCAGGGGUGAAAUCCUGGAGCUCAACUCCAGAACUGCCUUUGAUACUGAGGAUCUUGAGUUCGGGAGAGGUGAGUGGAACUGCGAGUGUAGAGGUGAAAUUCGUAGAUAUUCGCAAGAACACCAGUGGCGAAGGCGGCUCACUGGCCCGAUACUGACGCUGAGGCACGAAAGCGUGGGGAGCAAACCGG